RNAcentral lists this long non-coding RNA (411 nucleotides) under Phasianus colchicus (ring-necked pheasant). Its description in RNAcentral is "lncRNA (ENSPCLG00000021527.1)". Lineage: Eukaryota; Metazoa; Chordata; Aves; Galliformes; Phasianidae. The record is from RNAcentral.
AUGAGAACACUGGCAUGUAGUGCUUGGGGAAAGCUGUAUGCAAGGCAGUCAGAGAAAAACCCUUGUGUGCAGGGACUGCAUGGUACAAACUCCGCUGAGCAAAAGAAUGAAGAGUUGCUGAACAGCAGUCAAGAGACUAACCCAGGAAUAGCUGACGUGGAUACAUGUCUUGUCUCCACAUUUCAAGAAACAGACCUUCUUCUGACACCAAUGAAACUGGCCAAAGCCUAUCAACUACAAGUAUUGUGCUUAGCAUCCUCAAUUUGGAUGUUCAUUCAGCCAAAUUCUGAUUCUGUACCAGAGCCCUGUGGAGAAGGACCUGGGUGUGACAGUGGCCAACAGGUUGGCCAUGAGCCAGCAGUGUGUCCCUAUGGCCAAGAAGGGCAAAGUUACACACAGCCAGCUGUUUAA